UCAGGACGAACGCUGGCGGCGUGCUUAACACAUGCAAGUCGAACGAUGAAGCUGGUGCUUGCACUGGUGGAUUAGUGGCGAACGGGUGAGUAACACGUGAGUAACCUGCCCUUCACUUUGGGAUAAGCCUUGGAAACGGGGUCUAAUACCGGGUAUGACACAUUGCCGCAUGGUGGUGUGUGGAAAGCUUUUGUGGUGGAGGAUGGACUCGCGGCCUAUCAGCUUGAUGGUGGGGUAGUGGCCUACCAUGGCUUUGACGGGUAGCCGGCCUGAGAGGGUGACCGGCCACACUGGGACUGAGACACGGCCCAGACUCCUACGGGAGGCAGCAGUGGGGAAUAUUGCACAAUGGGCGGAAGCCUGAUGCAGCGACGCCGCGUGGAGGAUGAAGGCUUUCGGGUUGUAAACUCCUUUCAGCAGGGACGAAGCUUUUGUGACGGUACCUGCAGAAGAAGCACCGGCUAACUACGUGCCAGCAGCCGCGGUAAUACGUAGGGUGCGAGCGUUGUCCGGAAUUAUUGGGCGUAAAGAGCUUGUAGGCGGUUUGUCGCGUCUGCCGUGAAAGCCCAGGGCUUAACCCUGGGUCUGCGGUGGGUACGGGCAGACUAGAGUGUGGUAGGGGAGACUGGAAUUCCUGGUGUAGCGGUGAAAUGCGCAGAUAUCAGGAGGAACACCGAUGGCGAAGGCAGGUCUCUGGGCCAC
Molecule: ribosomal RNA, 702 nt
Filed under: Dermacoccus sp. P3708
Lineage: Bacteria; Bacillati; Actinomycetota; Actinomycetes; Micrococcales; Dermacoccaceae
Description: bacterial SSU rRNA
Rfam family: Bacterial small subunit ribosomal RNA
Source: RNAcentral